Molecule: ribosomal RNA, 29 nt
Filed under: Ganoderma sp. JM97/2
Lineage: Eukaryota; Fungi; Basidiomycota; Agaricomycetes; Polyporales; Polyporaceae
Description: partial 5.8S ribosomal RNA
Source: RNAcentral
GCAACGGAUCUCUUGGCUCUCGCAUCGAU